RNAcentral lists this ribosomal RNA (1011 nucleotides) under human gut metagenome. RNAcentral's name for it is "bacterial SSU rRNA". It matches the Rfam family "Bacterial small subunit ribosomal RNA", at positions 340 to 1353 of the family's 1533-position model. The record is from RNAcentral.
UACGGGAGGCAGCAGUGAGGAAUAUUGGUCAAUGGCCGAGAGGCUGAACCAGCCAAGUAGCGUGAAGGAAGAAGGAUCUAUGGUUUGUAAACUUCUUUUAUAGGGGAAUAAAGUGGAGGACGUGUCCUUUUUUGUAUGUACCCUAUGAAUAAGCAUCGGCUAACUCCGUGCCAGCAGCCGCGGUAAUACGGAGGAUGCGAGCGUUAUCCGGAUUUAUUGGGUUUAAAGGGUGCGUAGGUGGUGAUUUAAGUCAGCGGUGAAAGUUUGUGGCUCAACCAUAAAAUUGCCGUUGAAACUGGGUUACUUGAGUGUGUUUGAGGUAGGCGGAAUGCGUGGUGUAGCGGUGAAAUGCAUAGAUAUCACGCAGAACUCCGAUUGCGAAGGCAGCUUACUAAACCAUAACUGACACUGAAGCACGAAAGCGUGGGGAUCAAACAGGAUUAGAUACCCUGGUAGUCCACGCAGUAAACGAUGAUUACUAGGAGUUUGCGAUACAAUGUAAGCUCUACAGCGAAAGCGUUAAGUAAUCCACCUGGGGAGUACGCCGGCAACGGUGAAACUCAAAGGAAUUGACGGGGACCCGCACAAGCGGAGGAACAUGUGGUUUAAUUCGAUGAUACGCGAGGAACCUUACCCGGGUUUGAACGUAGUCUGACCGGAGUGGAAACACUCCUUCUAGCAAUAGCAGAUUACGAGGUGCUGCAUGGUUGUCGUCAGCUCGUGCCGUGAGGUGUCGGGUUAAGUCCCAUAACGAGCGCAACCCCUACCGUUAGUUACCAUCAGGUGAAGCUGGGGACUCUGGCGGGACUGCCGGCGUAAGCUGAGAGGAAGGUGGGGAUGACGUCAAAUCAGCACGGCCCUUACAUCCGGGGCGACACACGUGUUACAAUGGCAUGGACAAAGGGCAGCUACCUGGCGACAGGAUGCUAAUCUCCAAACCAUGUCUCAGUUCGGAUCGGAGUCUGCAACUCGACUCCGUGAAGCUGGAUUCGCUAGUAAUCGCGCAUCAGC